AACGAACGCUGGCGGCGUGGAUAAGACAUGCAAGUCGAACGCUCAUUGCAGGGUAGCAAUAUCAUGCAGUGGGAGUGGCGCAAGGGUGCGUAACACGUGGGUAAUCUGCCAUAAAGUUUGGGAUAACUCGCUGAAAGGCGAGCUAAUACCGGAUGUGAGAUUGUGAAGGCAUCUUUAUAUUCUCAAAGCUGGGGACCGCAAGGCCUGGCGCUUUUUGAUGAACCCGCGGCCUAUCAGCUAGUUGGUGAGGUAACGGCCCACCAAGGCUAAGACGGGUAGCUGGUCUGAGAGGACGACCAGCCACACUGGAACUGAGACACGGUCCAGACACCUACGGGUGGCAGCAGUCGAGUAAUUUUUCACAAUGGGCGAAAG
RNAcentral lists this ribosomal RNA (375 nucleotides) under uncultured bacterium. RNAcentral's name for it is "bacterial SSU rRNA". It matches the Rfam family "Bacterial small subunit ribosomal RNA", at positions 29 to 381 of the family's 1533-position model. The record is from RNAcentral.